UACAGAGGGUGCGAGCGUUAAUCGGAGUUACUGGGCGUAAAGGGCGCGUAGGCGGUUAUAUGAGUGUGAUGUGAAAGCCCCGGGCUUAACCUGGGAAGUGCGUCGCAAACGAUAUAACUGGAGUAGAUGAGAGGGUGGCGGAAUUUCCGGUGUAGCGGUGAAAUGCGUAGAGAUCGGAAGGAACGUCGAUGGCGAAGGCAGCCACCUGGCAUCAUACUGACGCUGAGGCGCGAAAGCGUGGGUAGCGAACAGG
Molecule: ribosomal RNA, 253 nt
Filed under: uncultured bacterium
Lineage: Bacteria
Description: partial 16S ribosomal RNA
Rfam family: Bacterial small subunit ribosomal RNA
Source: RNAcentral